Molecule: transfer RNA, 72 nt
Filed under: Dendronephthya gigantea
Lineage: Eukaryota; Metazoa; Cnidaria; Anthozoa; Malacalcyonacea; Nephtheidae
Description: tRNA-Cys
Rfam family: tRNA
About the family: Transfer RNA (tRNA) molecules are approximately 80 nucleotides in length. Their secondary structure includes four short double-helical elements and three loops (D, anti-codon, and T loops). Further hydrogen bonds mediate the characteristic L-shaped molecular structure. tRNAs have two regions of fundamental functional importance: the anti-codon, which is responsible for specific mRNA codon recognition, and the 3' end, to which the tRNAs corresponding amino acid is attached (by aminoacyl-tRNA synthetases). tRNAs cope with the degeneracy of the genetic code in two manners: having more than one tRNA (with a specific anti-codon) for a particular amino acid; and 'wobble' base-pairing, i.e. permitting non-standard base-pairing at the 3rd anti-codon position.
Source: RNAcentral
GGGAGUGUAGCUCAGUGGUAGAGCAUUCGACUGCAGAUCGAGAGGUCAGUGGUUCAACUCCAUUCGCUCCCU